CUCAUCAAUCUCUCUGUUAGACCUUCUACUCCUCUUCCACGAAGUUUCGUGGUUGAUGGAUGUCGGGGGAGGCGGAUCGAAGAUUCUCUACAAAUCCGAUCUUUGGGUUCCUUCUCCGACGGUGACGACGACGACUACGCGGCAUGUGUUCGCUCUAGAUGGAUGUAUUUAGGCUGGUGUCUUUGGUCGUGGGGAGCGUCCUGAUGAUCCACAUAAGCAGUGGUUGUGUGGAGUCCAAAAAUUCCGGCAGUCAGCUGAAAUUUUCGCCACUUCCCUGACGACCUUGAGACUCUUGUAUUAACUCGAGAUAAAUGAUGGCAUUUACCCGACUUCCUACCCUAUUUUUCGAUUCUUUUUCUCUCUCCUUCUCGCGACUGUUUUCGACGUUCUCCUUCACCAUUCUUCUCCUCAAUCUCUCUAUUAGACCUUCUACUCCUUUUCAACGAUGUUUCGUGGCUGAUGAACAUCGAGGGAGGCGGAUCAGAGAUUCUCCAAAAAUUCGAUUAUUGGGUUCCUUCUCUAACGGUGACGAUGACGACUAUAUGGCGUUUGUUCGCUCUGGAUGGAUGUAUUUAGGUCGGUGAGGAAUUUUUGGUGUGGUUUUCUCAGUAUAGGGGUCGGGGCUAACAGUUUCGAGGCUCGUCGGAGGUUGAAUUUCUUUCUCUCUCUCUCAGUUUUCCUUUCCUUUCUUUCUUGUUUUCUCU
Long non-coding RNA from Cucurbita maxima (winter squash), 704 nucleotides. RefSeq lists it as uncharacterized. Lineage: Eukaryota; Viridiplantae; Streptophyta; Magnoliopsida; Cucurbitales; Cucurbitaceae. The transcript is spliced from 3 exons. The record is from RefSeq and is a predicted model, not a curated record.